UAUUUAUUUAGGUCUAUUAUUUUAUUAAAUAAGCAAAUAUACAUAAAUGGAAAUAUAAAUAUAUUAUGAAUUAUUAUAUUUAAUAUAAAUGUAUAUAUAAUAUUAUUUUUAAAUGUUUAACAAUAUCUAUAUAAUUAAUAAUCAUUUAUUAACUGUAUAAAUAACUGAAAUUAGAAUUAAUGUAUAAUAAAUUUUUUAAGUUAUUCAUCAUUUUUAUAAAUUACUUAAGAAAAAAGAGAUAAUUAAUAAUUUAAUAGAAAUAGUAAAGUAUUAAUAUUAUAUUAAAUUAUUUAUAAUAAUAUAUAUAUUUAUAUAUUUAAUUUAAUAAUUUAUUAGGUGAAAUUUUAAUUUAAAUAAAUUAUAUAGUUGAGUUAUUGAAAUUAUGAAAUUUUAAUAAUAAACUAGGAUUAGAUACCCUAUUAUUUAAAAUGUAAAUAAAUAAUCUAGAAUAGUAUUAGUUAUGUUCUUGAAAUUUAAAAAAUUUGGCGGUAUUUUAGUCUAUUCAGAGGAACCUGUUUUAUAAUUGAUAAUCCACGUUGGACCUUACUUAAUUUUGUUUAGUAUGUAUACCGCCGUCGUCAGAAUGUCUUAAAAAAGUAAUAAUUUUCUAAAAUUUUUAAUAUAAAUUAUGUCAGGUCAAGGUGCAGCUUAUAAUUAAGUAAAAAAUGGGUUACAAUAAAUUUAUUUUUGGAUAAAAGAUUGAAAUAUUUUUUUGAAAUUGGAUUUGAUAGUAAAAUAAAAAAGAAAAGUUAUUUGAUUUUAGCUCUAAAAUAUGUACAUAUCGCCCGUCGCUCUCGUUAUUAAGAUGAGAUAAGUCGUAACAUAGUAGAUGUACCGGAAGGUGUAUCUAGAAAGAC
Molecule: non-coding RNA, 857 nt
Filed under: Tipula fascipennis
Lineage: Eukaryota; Metazoa; Arthropoda; Insecta; Diptera; Tipulidae
Source: RNAcentral